Erigeron canadensis is the source of this 107-nucleotide small nucleolar RNA. The record is from RefSeq and is a predicted model, not a curated record. NCBI's taxonomy places the organism in Eukaryota, Viridiplantae, Streptophyta, Magnoliopsida, Asterales, Asteraceae.
ACUUCAUGAUGAGGACAUGACCUUAACAGUUCCUUAAAACGUUCAAAUACUUCAUGAAAAAGUUCAUUAGGCAGUUGCCUAAAAGAUUUUAUUUGAUUUCUAACAUC